GACGAACGCUGGCGGCGUGCCUAAUACAUGCAAGUCGAGCGCUGAAGGUUGGUACUUGUACCGAUUGGAUUAGCAGCUAACGGGUGAGUAACGCGUGGGUAAUCUUCUUUUUAGUGGGGGACAAAAUUGGGAAACGAAUGCUAAUACUGCAUAAAAACUUUUAACACAAGUUUCAAGUGUGAAAGAUGCAAUUGCAUCACUCAAAGAUGAUUCCGCGUUUGAUUAGUUAGUUGGGGAGGUAAAGGCCCACCAAGGCGAUGAUACCUGGGCGUCCUGGGAGGGUGGUCCGGCCCAUUGGGACUGGGACCCCGCCCCAACUCCUUCCGGAAGCAACAGUAGGGGAACUUCGGACAUGGGGGGCAGGCUUAACGCACACCGCCGCGUGAGUGGAGGAAGUUUUUGGAUCGUAAAACUCUGUUGGUAGAGAAGAACGUUGGUGAGAGUAGAAAGCUCAUCAAGUGACGGUACCUACACAGAAAGCAACGGCUAACUACGUG
Molecule: ribosomal RNA, 497 nt
Filed under: uncultured bacterium
Lineage: Bacteria
Description: partial 16S ribosomal RNA
Rfam family: Bacterial small subunit ribosomal RNA
Source: RNAcentral